This 254-nucleotide ribosomal RNA is filed under the name uncultured bacterium. RNAcentral describes it as "partial 16S ribosomal RNA". It matches the Rfam family "Bacterial small subunit ribosomal RNA", at positions 524 to 776 of the family's 1533-position model. The record is from RNAcentral.
UACGUAGGGUGCGAGCGUUAAUCGGAAUUACUGGGCGUAAAGCGUGCGCAGGCGGUCUGUUAAGACCGAUGUGAAAUCCCCGGGCUUAACUUGGGAACUGCAUUGGUGACUGGCAGGCUUUGAGUGUGGCAGAGGGAGGUAGAAUUCCACGUGUAGCAGUGAAAUGCGUAGAGAUGUGGAGGAAUACCGAUGGCGAAGGCAGCCUCCUGGGCCAACACUGACGCUCAUGCACGAAAGCGUGGGGAGCAAACAGG